AGCCCUCUCUAGGCUGCCGGGCUGCUUCUUGUACUACGGAGGGACUAGAGAAAAGGCUCAGAGGCUAAGAAUAUGCAUGCACCACCCAUGCAGAGGACCUGAAUUCUGUUCCCAGCACUCAUAUCAGGUGGAUCACAACUGCGUCGAACUCCAGCUCCAGGGGAGCUGAUACCCUCUACUGGCCAAUGUGGCAAAACAUGUGGUGAGGUCACAGAUGGUCAGAGGUCAGCACCACCCAGAGAGAGGCCAGACCUACGGAGUAAUUAAAGCCCCAGCAGUCAGGGGUGAACUGGCAAAGAUGAACUAACCUGAAACCCCUCCUCUGUGGAAGACCAUCUCCCCACCUCUCACCUGAGACGGCAUCAGGCCAUCUCUCCAGAGCUAAGCAAAAUGAAUGUGAAAUUUGAUGACAGACUGAGGAUCAUUGCAGUCCCCAAAGAAGACACAUGAAUGGCCAAAGAUUUGCAUUUCGUCAUUAAGUCUCAGAAGCAGCUUUGCGAAGUCGGCAGCAGGAAGGGAAGGAGAUGUUCUGGAUGGUUCUGUCUCCAAAGGUCCUGUCCCACAGUUACCUGGCAACAGCCAGGUGUGCCUGACUCACUAUAAAAGGGGCUGCAUGUCCCCUCCUCUCUCUUGCUCUCUUCUCUUUUCUUUUGGGCCCAGCCUCCACGCCUGUGGGAUGAGUUGCUCCGCUAGCUUGUUGCCCAAAGCUGUAGCACACAAUGUAGCAGCUGUGGUUAAAAUGGCCGAAUAAUAAAGUCCUGAGUCAUUUCU
This 771-nucleotide long non-coding RNA is filed under the name Rattus norvegicus (Norway rat). Its description in RNAcentral is "long non-coding RNA NONRATT006655". Lineage: Eukaryota; Metazoa; Chordata; Mammalia; Rodentia; Muridae. The record is from RNAcentral.